UAGAGACAAAAUGGGAAGAGACUGUGAUGAACAGCUGCAGAGCUGCACUCAACACAGCUUCUCUGUAAUAUUUAUGCAAAUCUCCAUCUCCUCUUGUAAUAUUAGCACCGUGCUUAUCUAGAGAGGAAGCGCUUCUCCUUAGUCCUCCUUCAACACAAACAUGUUUGCUUCAGCUCCACUGCUGCUGCUGGCUCUCGCCCCCUAUGUGUUCUGUGCUACUGAGCUCAUCCAGCCAGACUCAGUGCUUAUAAAGCCAGGAGAGACUUUAACCAUCACCUGUAGAGUGUCUGGAGCUUCUAUCACUGAUAGCAGCAGCCACUAUGGAACAGGUUGGAUUCGACACCCUGCAGGAAAAGCUCUGGAAUGGACUGCAUACAUCAAGCAUGAUGGGGCUACAUUUUACAGUGACAAACUGAAAAACAAGUUCAGCAUCUCCAGAGACACUGCUACUAACACAAUAACAAUUCGAGGACAGAAUCUGCAGACUGAAGACACAGCUGUGUAUUACUGCGCAAGAGACUCACAGUGACACAGAAUAGUGGAUUCCCCUUACAAAAACUUUGAGACAUGUUAGAGACAUCCUCUCAAUGCCACUAA
Pangasianodon hypophthalmus (striped catfish) is the source of this 597-nucleotide non-coding RNA. NCBI's taxonomy places the organism in Eukaryota, Metazoa, Chordata, Actinopteri, Siluriformes, Pangasiidae. The record is from the annotation of a RefSeq genome assembly.